Molecule: ribosomal RNA, 253 nt
Filed under: uncultured bacterium
Lineage: Bacteria
Description: partial 16S ribosomal RNA
Rfam family: Bacterial small subunit ribosomal RNA
Source: RNAcentral
GACGAACCGUGCGAACGUUAUUCGGAAUCACUGGGCUUGAAGGGCGCGUAGGCGGGCAUCAAAGUCAGGGGUGAAAUCCCGCGGCUCAACCGCGGAAGUGCCUCUGAUACUGGGUGCCUAGAGGGGUGCAGGGGCAUGCGGAACUAAGGGUGGAGCGGUGAAAUGCGUAGAUAUCCUUAGGAACACCGGUGGCGAAAGCGGCGUGCUGGACACCUACUGACGCUGAGGCGCGAAAGCCAGGGGAGCAAACGGG